CCCUUAGAUGUUCUGGGCCGCACGCGCGCUACACUGACGGAGCCAACGAGUCUUUUCCUUGUCCGGAAGGACUGGGUAAUCUUGUGAAACUUCGUCGUGCUGGGGAUAGAGCAUUGCAAUUAUUGCUCUUCAACGAGGAAUGCCUAGUAAGCGCAAGUCAUCAACUUGCGUUGAUUACGUCCCUGCCCUUUGUACACACCGCCCGUCGCUACUACCGAUUGAAUGGUUUAGUGAGGCCUUCGGAUCCGCGACUCGUUUGUGGAGAAGUUGGACAAACUCAGUCAUUUAGAGGAAGUAAAAGUCGUAACA
This 309-nucleotide ribosomal RNA is filed under the name uncultured eukaryote. RNAcentral describes it as "partial 18S ribosomal RNA". It matches the Rfam family "Eukaryotic small subunit ribosomal RNA", at positions 1470 to 1796 of the family's 1831-position model. The record is from RNAcentral.